UUUCUUAGCCGAAACCAAGAAGGAAGAAAGCCAUUAAAGCUUAGUCAAGUUUCGGCCAUAUUCAAGCUUAAAUUCAAGGUUCGUUUUUGUUUGGUUUUCGAUAAUUUUUACGUUUUUGAGAUCGUUGCUUCGAAUACUUUAAAACCCAUGCCUUAAUUUUAUGAAUUGUUGAUGAUUUUGAAAUGUAUCAUUGAUGAAUGCUUGAGCUUUGUGAUAGUUGAUGAUGAAAUAUGAAAGAUAUGUGAAAGAUUAAUAUGUUUUGUUUUUGAAUUUUUGAUGAAUUUGAGAAAUUAGGGUUAAAUUGUAAAAAUAAAUUUUUGAGGGGAUAAAAUGUAAAAUAAAUGAAAUGUGUGGGCUUGUAAAGAUACUAGGAAUAUUCGACCCUAAAGGAGUGUAGUCAAAUUUUGUGUAUUUUGUGUUUUGAGCAAAAAGAACUAAAUUGUAAAAAGUGUGAAAUGUUGGGGUAAAAUUGUAAUUUGCCAAUUUAUGCGUUUUUAGGCUAAAUUGAAUAGAAUGAUGUUGAAAUAAGCUUAAAUUGAAUAUGUUUAGAUCAAGAAUUAAAGAAAACAAAUUUGGAUCGGGGAAAGACAAAGGUGGUCGAGUAGUUGAUUUAAUGGUCGACGACAUUCGAGGUAAGUCUAUUAGCAAAAUAAUGUUAUUAAACUAGAAUAUAUAUAUAUAUGGAAAUCUAUCAUUCAUUUAAUAAGUUGAAUUAACUUUGUUAUUUUCAUAUUGUUAGCCGAAUAUACAAGUUGAAAUUGGUAGGUUAAAAUUUUAUUUUACAAAUAUUGUAUAUGUUAUAUCAUGCAUGUUUGAGUUUAAUAAGAUGAAAUUAAUAGCAUAAAUUAUAUAAAUAUAUGAUGAUGUUCGAAUGUAUAAUACAAAUUCUUUGAGUUGAAUUUAAUGCUAUAAAUGGUAUGUAUGUAUGUGGUUCGAAUAAAUGAUGCAAUGUUUUGAAUUGAAUGUAAUGUUAUGAAAUAUAUAUAUAUAUAUAAAAGAGGUUAGAAUGUAAGAUACAAGUUUCUUUGAGCUGAAUUUAAUGUUAAUAAUUAUAUAUAAUUAUACAUGUGAAUCGAAAAUAGGAUUUGAGUUUCUUGAGUUGAAUUUAAUGUUAUGAAUCAUGUAUAUGUGGUUCGAAUGAGGUUGCUAUGAAGAGUUGAAUAUAAAACAAUUCUUAUCGAGAUAUAGUUAUUGAGAAAGAUUUAUGUGUAUUAUAAAGAUUUAUAUGAAAGAUUAACUUUGUAUCUCAGUUAUUCAGGCUAUGUGCCUAGCAGGCUUAAUGCCGGUGAAAUAAUUCAGACUUUACGUCUAGUAGGCUUAAUGCCGAUGAUACAUUUCGGACUAUAGGUCUAGCAGGCUAAGAGCCGGUGUACUGAAUCAGGUUUUAAAACCUAGCAGGCUAAGUGCCGGUGAAUCUGUUUAAAUUAUGUGGGAAUAUGCAAUUGAUAUAUCUAUGAUUUUGAUUAUAUGAAAUUGAUGAAUACAUAAACAUUCAGUUUUUACAUACUUGGUAAGUAUACACCUACAUACAUUCGGGUUUUGCAUUGGUUAAAUAUAAUUGUAUGCUUUCGGUAUAUACAAUUAAUAAAAGCAUAUGUAUAUUAGGUAAUAUGCGAUUGUUGAAUUUAUAAUUACAUAUGGUGAUAUGCGGUUGUUAAAUAUAUAUAUUGAGCCUAUGUGUUUGAUAAUUAUUUAUGUAUGCAUUUGAGAUAUAUAUAUUUAUAUAUAUAUAAAUGUUCUCAUUUAUAUGUAUAUGAAGAAUAUAUAUAUAUUCGAAUGUAGAUAUUAGCUAUGCAUUCAGGUAUAAAUUUAUAAUGAGUAUAUAUAUACAAACAAAUGAUUAUAUAAUGUGAUUGGUAUAUAUGUGCAUUCGGAUGUAUGCAGGUAAUAAAGAUGUAUACACAUUCGGUUAUAAAAAUUGUUAAACAUAUGUUUAUAUAUAUAUGCAAUCGGAUAUUUAUGUAAAUGUGUAUAUACAUUCGGUUUAAAUUGUUGAUAAUUAUGUAUGCAUUUAUCUAUAAGUAUUUGUUAAUAUACACAGUGUUUGUGAAUUCAUUUAGUGUACCAGGAAAUUCUCUAAUUUAUAUAUAUAUAUUUGUAGUUAUGCUAUAGACUUACUAAGCUAUAAAAUCUUACUUUGUUUACUUAUGUCUUCCUAUUUUAUAGACUUAAAGAUCAAACUUCAAGCUCAGGGAUUGUCAGCAAGUUCAUCACCCUUUCUAUUAUUUUGGUAUUUAAAAUAUUAAAUUCUAACUAUGGCAUGUAUAGACUAGAUAAAUGUUUUGAAGGUU
Molecule: long non-coding RNA, 2291 nt
Filed under: Gossypium barbadense (sea-island cotton)
Lineage: Eukaryota; Viridiplantae; Streptophyta; Magnoliopsida; Malvales; Malvaceae
Description: long non-coding RNA (GBAR_LNC015156)
Source: RNAcentral